CAGUCCCUGGUGGGUGGGGCUGGGGUACAGGGCGGAGUCAGAACCUGGUGGGCGGGGCCUGACGGGGCUGGACGUGAGGCUGCGUGUGUGGGCGUGGCCCGCAAGUCCCCGCCUGCACAGAUGCAGGACUCAGGCUGCUAUGGCGGAGCUGCAUCCCUGUGCCACUUCCUACCACUGGGGUCUCAAUGUGGACACAGGACGGUGCAGCCUGCGCUGGGGGAACAGCCUUGACCAGUGAGGGGUCACCUUGGCCCCAUGGCAGCCCCCCACACCCUGAAGCGUGGUGAGUCCUCAUGCUGGUGCUGGUCAGGGAUUGGGGGGCCCUGGGCAGGUGGGAGGUCAUUGCCCAGGUCAAAGGUCAGGCAUGGAGGGAGGGGCACAGGGGCGGCGCUGCCCGGGGUCCUCUGUGUUCCCUCGUCAGAGGAUAGUGUCAGCCGGGAGAGCUGGGCGGCGGGGGCCGUUUCCAGCCCAGCUUCGCCUCUGGCUCCUGCACCUGCUCUUCAGCGCUGAGCGCGACAAGGGGACGCGAAUCCUUCCAGCCCCAGCCCAGUCCAGGGAGUCACGGGACUCCUUGGCGGUCCUGUGAUUUUUUAUGUUUUAUUGGAGAGAGACAGAGAAAUCAGGAGGGAGGAUCGGGGAAGAGACAGAGGCACCUGCAGCCCUGCUCCACCACUUGGAAGCUUCCCCCCUGCAGGUGGGGACUGAGGGGCUUGAACCCGGGUUGUCACACACCAGCACUUGCACCCCCAUGCUGUCAUGUUCCAUGUUUUCAUCAUUAAAUAGCAGUGUUGUGGUGUUUUUUUGUGUUUGUCAUGUUGGUGGGUCCACGUGUCCUUCGGUCAGGGGAGCUGAGGAGCAGCCUGGCGCCCCCAGGCACUGUGCGCUCCUGUGUUCCUGCUCGCACCCGGCUCUUCCUGUCUUUCACGGUUUACUAGCGUCACAGGGGAGGGCAAGAUGGAGAAGAGAAGCGGGAGCAGCACUCCGCACACGCACUGGACACCGCGGGGCUGCCGCCGGCAGAGGACCACUCCGUGCCCACCCGUGUCCCUUCUCGGGCCGUGCCUGCACUUUGCGGGGGGCGGGGGGCCCCAGCCCCGCUUACCCAGGAGCCCAGGGCCAAUUUUGUUAGAUUUGGGGCCUCUGGGCUGCUUGCUCAUAGUGAAGACAUCUGACACUGGGUUGAGGUGGGACCAGGGGCCUUGAACUCUGGCCCUGUGCGUGGUAGCAUGUGCUUACCUGGGUGCACCGCUGCCCGGCCCCCCAGCCCGCCAUCUCAGACAAGCCAACGCCUGAGGGCUGCUCUCCUUCCUCUAAUUUUGAAUGCCUUUCAGGUAGAGAAAACUGGACUUGGGCCCGGGGUGGGAGGGCACCUCCAGCACGGGAGGCCUUGGGUGCACAGGUCCUGUGCUCUCCCACUGAGCUUUCUCCGAGGCCUGAGAGAUCCCUGGGCAAGGAGAUGGGGCCACAGGCAGAGCAAGGGACUUCCACGUAUGAGGCCCAGAGUUUGACCCCGGCCACUGCCAAGGCUGGAGUGAUACUCCGGUUCAUUCUCUAAUAAAUCUUUUUUAAAAUGGUC
This is a long non-coding RNA of Erinaceus europaeus (western European hedgehog), 1576 nucleotides long. RefSeq lists it as uncharacterized. The transcript is spliced from 2 exons. Lineage: Eukaryota; Metazoa; Chordata; Mammalia; Eulipotyphla; Erinaceidae. The record is from RefSeq and is a predicted model, not a curated record.